UAAGUAUUGGCAUUGGAUUAUUUAAAAUUUAUUAUAAAGAUAUGAUUAUGCAAUCUAACAUAAUCUUAACCAAAAAAAUUGACUUACUUCUAGUAUUGUUACUCAAACCACAUAAGUAUUGAAAGGCUUAAAUAAUUCACUCAACAUAAGGGAGUAGUGGGCUUUUCAAACAAGUUCUUCUAUACAUGUGCUAUACUUAAUUCUGUAGCAAACAAACAAUUAUAAAGUUUUCUAAAACCACCACUUUUUAGGCCAUUCAAUCUCUUGAAUUGAUUCAUUUAGAUCUAAGUAGAAAGAUAUCUCCAUCUAUAUUUUUUAAUUUUGAGUACUAUAUUACCUUCAUCAACAACUAUUCUUAUUAUAUAAUUUUUUAAUUUUUUAGAUUCAAAAGUGAAUGUUUUAAAUUCU
This 408-nucleotide long non-coding RNA is filed under the name Physcomitrium patens. RNAcentral's name for it is "long non-coding RNA (PPAT_LNC009229)". The record is from RNAcentral. Lineage: Eukaryota; Viridiplantae; Streptophyta; Bryopsida; Funariales; Funariaceae.